GACGAACGCUGGCGGCGUGCCUAAUACAUGCAAGUCGAGCGAAGUUUUUCUGGUGCUUGCACUAGAAAAACUUAGCGGCGAACGGGUGAGUAACACGUAAAGAACCUGCCUCAUAGACUGGGACAACUAUUGGAAACGAUAGCUAAUACCGGAUAACAGUAUUUCUCGCAUGGGAGAUAUUUAAAAGUUGGUUAUGCUAACACUAUGAGAUGGCUUUGCGGUGCAUUAGCUAGUUGGUGGGGUAAAGGCCCACCAAGGCGACGAUGCAUAGCCGACCUGAGAGGGUGAUCGGCCACACUGGGACUGAGACACGGCCCAGACUCCUACGGGAGGCAGCAGUAGGGAAUCUUCCGCAAUGGGCGAAAGCCUGACGGAGCAACGCCGCGUGAGUGAAGAAGGAUUUCGGUUCGUAAAGCUCUGUUGUUAGGGAAGAAUGGAUAUGUAGUAACUAUACAUGUAAGAGACGGUACCUAACCAGAAAGCCACGGCUAACUACGUG
RNAcentral lists this ribosomal RNA (499 nucleotides) under uncultured bacterium. Its description in RNAcentral is "partial 16S ribosomal RNA". It matches the Rfam family "Bacterial small subunit ribosomal RNA", at positions 28 to 507 of the family's 1533-position model. The record is from RNAcentral.